UUACUACACUGUUCUGAAACACUUCGAUCAGAAAUCCCAAUCGUCCUUAUCUGAAACUUGAUCUUCAUCGCGGAAGACCUCUAGGCUCUAGCAUAAUCGUAUGACGGCAGGCGGUGGCAGCGGUGGUGGUGGUGGUGCCGGUGGAGUCACCUCCGGCAAAAAACGACAACGUUCUGGUAGCUAUAGUCGACUUUCCUCUACUGUAGGGAUCAUCGACUCUUCUCGUCCUGAUAAUACCCUAACGGAACGCACACAGAAGACAUCAGGUAUUCGCCGCACAGCUUCUCAAGCGUUUAUUGCACCGUCGUCCUCCGCUGCUGUUAGCCGCGGAUUCAACGAUUCAGCCACGGCUGACGUCGUGCUUCGUCUCUUUGUCGAUCAAUUGCCGCUGUUCGAUACCGAUGACUCCGAAUCCAUUUCAGCCGUCGAUUCUGAUCAAUCCGAUGUCCAGAUCUAUCUCCAUUCCGAUGUUCUCUGCCGUUCUAAGUACUUCGCUACUCUCUUAUCCGACCGCUGGCAAAAGGAAUCAAACGACGUCGAUUCCGGGAAUUCUUUAAGGAUGUUCCGACUCAAUCUCGGCGUUCCCGCUACUCCUGGAUCAAUCGAUCAUCAUUUGGCUGUUCUUCAGCUUCUAUAUACCAAUGACUUCUCGACAACUAUCCACAAUGUUUCGGUAGCGUUGUGUUUACUUCCGGUGGCUUUGGAAUUAAUAUUCGAAGAUUGCAUUAAGGCUUGUGUUCGGUUCCUUGAGGCCGUACCGUGGACUGAAGAUGAAGAAAGGAAAAUACUCAGUAUAGUUCCCUUGCUAGGCAAGGAGGAGUCUCAAGAGCUUCUCGCUAGGGUCUCAAUUGACAAAAUUGAUACGUCCGAACAAAUGCUUCAUGGAUUGAUAUUAUCAGCACUUCAUAACCAUCCUAACACGGCAUUCGCUAAGGCAUUUGUAGCUAAGCUGUUGAGGGACUUUUCGUCCAAAGAGGCAGCAAAGAGAGUGUUGGACCGUGCCUUUCAGAGUAGCUUGAAGAUUGUGAAGGAGUCGUUGGAGGAGUACUCAAGUCCUGAUUUUAGAGGUGAUCACAAUGAGAUUGAGGCAAUUCAGAGGCUGAAUUUGCAUACUGCAAUGACAAAUGGGAGGCAUUUGGUGUGGUUGGUGGAGAGGAUGAUUGAACUGA
Molecule: unclassified non-coding RNA, 1169 nt
Filed under: Hevea brasiliensis (rubber tree)
Lineage: Eukaryota; Viridiplantae; Streptophyta; Magnoliopsida; Malpighiales; Euphorbiaceae
Source: RNAcentral